This 468-nucleotide ribosomal RNA is filed under the name uncultured bacterium. RNAcentral's name for it is "partial 16S ribosomal RNA". It matches the Rfam family "Bacterial small subunit ribosomal RNA", at positions 28 to 507 of the family's 1533-position model. The record is from RNAcentral.
GACGAACGCUGGCGGCGUGCUUAACACAUGCCAGUCGAACGGAAAGGCCCUGCUUUUGUGGGGUGCUCGAGUGGCGAACGGGUGAGUAACACGUGAGUAACCUGCCCUUGACUUUGGGAUAACUUCAGGAAACUGGGGCUAAUACCGGAUAGGAGCUCCUGCUGCAUGGUGGGGGUUGGAAAGUUUCGGCGGUUGGGGAUGGACUCGCGGCUUAUCAGCUUGUUGGUGGGGUAGUGGCUUACCAAGGCUUUGACGGGUAGCCGGCCUGAGAGGGUGACCGGCCACAUUGGGACUGAGAUACGGCCCAGACUCCUACGGGAGGCAGCAGUGGGGAAUAUUGCACAAUGGGCGGAAGCCUGAUGCAGCAACGCCGCGUACGGGAUGACGGCCUUCGGGUUGUAAACCGCUUUCGCCUGUGACGAAGCGUGAGUGACGGUAAUGGGUAAAGAAGCACCGGCUAACUACGUG